Oxyura jamaicensis (ruddy duck) is the source of this 4788-nucleotide long non-coding RNA. RefSeq lists it as uncharacterized. NCBI's taxonomy places the organism in Eukaryota, Metazoa, Chordata, Aves, Anseriformes, Anatidae. The record is from RefSeq and is a predicted model, not a curated record. The transcript is spliced from 7 exons.
UGGAGAGGCUGCGGAGCCACAGGUGCGGAUCCGAAGGCUGUGCCAUCACCGAAGUAGGAACGCGAGCAGAAGGCAGACGCUGCGCCAGAAGUAGCAACAAUGCAGAAAUACGUUCAGGGAGAGCAAUAGCAAAGGGAAAGGCAGAAAGAAGCUGGGGCAUCAGAUGGAAGUGAAGGCAGUAGCAGGGAGCAGGCCUGCUGUGCUCUGCCAGAACAGCCGCUGGACACACUUGGACCUGUCCUGUGCCUGUCACUGUGAACGCAUGGUGCCUUGCUGCUGCCACUGACAAAAUUGCUAAUUUAUUGAGCUUUCAGGAGGAUCUAGGUUGGAAAAGAGCACUCAUCCCUCAUUCUCACAUGCCCCCUCCAGAAUCGGCUGUCGUUGGCAAUGGGCAUGCUGUUAGUCAUUUGUUUGGUUCAGCUGUUUUGCCUGCUGCUUAGGUUUAAUGGAGGGUUUCUGGCUUUUAAAAAAAUCAGUACAGAGCUGGGGUUCCAGCCUCAAAUGCCACGUAUAUUUAGUUUUAAUUCUGGGGUGUGCCAUAGCGUGGGGUGGCUAAGGUUGGAGAAGAGGGUCCUGCGUUAGCUUUAUGUAGGGCGCUAUCAUUACCUGCUUACUGUGAGCUGUUCCUGAGCACUGCCUAUACCUAUUGCGUUUAUUGUUUGUUUUUUUUUGAGUGUAUGUCCUGUUUUUUUGUGUGAGUGAAACUUUAUCUGCAAACCAGACUGAAGAAAUCAGCCAACCUUCUCCUCCCUGUUCCGUUCCGGCAUGGCUUUGUUACAGCCAACUGACACGAGGUGCAGCAGAAGUGGCAAGAUCCCAAGCUGUCAAGUGUCAAGUGAUAUUUUAUCCAGGACCCAAACGUGAGAUGGAUCCAGCAGUUCAGCCAUGCGUUUGCCUGGGCUUUUGGGAUGAUCCAGCAGGCUAGGACAGGACAGCAGAGGAGGAUAACCCAGCAGAAGAAAGAAUCUCUGCCACGGUGUCGCAGGUCAGCAGCAACACAGAAAAGCCAGCCCAGCCUUCCUAGGUGCCGCUUGGGCUGGAGCAGUGGGAUAAGGAUGUGCCCCCCGGGGGUCAGAGCCGAGCUGGAAGGAGCAGCCUGAGCAGGAGCUGGGAGAAGGGCAGUGGGCUGGAGGACUGGUGCCUGCACAUGCUGCUGAGAAGGAAAACCACCCACAGAUUAACAGCUGCUAAAAUACCGAACAGCCUGACUGCUUUCAAACUGACAUCUACUUAGGACCCAGAACAAUUUAUUUUCUUAAAUAAAGGGAAGCUUCUCUUCCUGGAAGCUGUACAACAUUUUUAAUGUCUCCCAUGCUGAAGUGGGAUGAAAGGUCAAAACUCAUUAAAACUUUAGCAAAGCAGAAGUCUGCCUUAAAAGAUUCAUUUUUUUUUUUUUUUUUUUCGUUUUUAUAGGCCUCGAUUUAUUAGUGUGCCUAAGUGUAGGCUUAAUUUUCUAUCACUUUGAUUUCAGUCACGUGCUCAGGGUUUUAUUGAGUCACAAAUUGAUGAGAUUUCUGGGAGUCUGGUCUUGGGCGUGCCUGGAUAGUAAACUGGAAAAAAGGAGAAAGGCAACCUGCUUUCCAAGCCUGCAGUCGAGCCAUGAACCUCCGUCUCCUUCCCUGUGCUGAGCAAUAAAUGAUGGAAGAACCUGUUGCUUGCAAAGCGAUGGCCCUGUAGAGAUUGCAGUGCACUCUGAAUGGCUUGUGCACUCAUCCAGGCUGCUUGGGACUUGUAGGGGAGGCUGGAUGCAACAUCUGGAAAUGGAUCUUGUUCAGGUCUUCGUAAAUCUGGUGCUCUCUGCGGUUACUUAUCUUCAGGAGAAACGAAGGAAUCAAACUUUUUACUAUGAUUUUUAAUGGUUACCUUUCUGGAACCUCUCCUGUCCAUUUCCGUAGUCUCAGGGUUCCUUUCUUCUGCCUCUAAAAUAGUGGUUGGGUAACGGAGCAGCAAACUUGGCUGACGGUUUUUAGGUACUCUCUAAUUGCCUCUGUCGUGGUCAACAGGGAUUUUAUUCCCACUUUAAUCCCACGGCUGUACUUGGCAGCUUGUAAAUCACACAUGUACAUCACAAGAAAGGAGUGGAUUGCUUCUGUCUUAAUCUGCAGCCUCUUACUUUUAUGACUCCUUUGUAUCAUCAGUCUUUAUUUCCGUCACAAGGAAAAAACGUCCUCCCCCAGUGGCUGCAUCCAGAUGAAUGUGUUUUAUUCUCGGCAAGAUCAGAGGAAGGCGAUUUACAAGGGUUCUGGGCACUCGGAACGCAUGAGCACUGGGCCAUGUGGAUGUGCUGCCUCGGGAUGUAUUUAUGGUGCAGGCUCACUGGCUCAGCUCCACAAAGUUUGUAGUACAGGGAAGGCUGAUAAAAAGCAAUUCACAGGAGCCCGGUAGGUGCAGAGAUACAAUGCGCCGGUGCUGGCUGUAAGCGGUGAUGAGACGACCUCAGCAGUCCCGCGAGCUGCAGCCUGGGAGCUAGAAAAACUGGGUUUGGAUCCACUUGUAUCGCUGAGCUGCUGUGUGAUCUUGAAAGAUCAUUUCUUAUUCCCCUCCUGUGCUUUAUUUACGAGUUUAUAACACUUUUGGAGCAAGAAAUUCCUUUCUGGGGAUAGUUCAUAUGCUGUCUGUCCCAGGGAUGACCUCAUCAGGGCUGAAGUUUCUAGGUGAACUGUAAUUUAAAAACAAACAAACAAACCAGGAAUGCUGCUCGGGGCCAGUGCUGUGUUUCAUGAUCCCACACGCUGGCAUCUGGUCGCAGGUCCUGCGGGGAUUAGUAGGGACUGCUAAUGAACGUGGGCUUGUGAAGCCGCCCCGUUAAUAAAAAUAGAAAACUGGUCUCGGAGCACACCGUGUGGUUUCAGCCAGAAUUUCCUUCUGGUUCUCUGCUUCGAGAGAAGCUGUUCUCUGAAGGAACAACUGUUCUUGGAGGAUCCAAUUUAACCUGACCUCAUGAUGAACAUUUUCUCCUGCGGUACAGCAGGUGAAUUUUGUCGGACUGAACUCUUGUUGAAAGUUGUGGUGUGCUCAGUCCAAACAUUCUAACCACAACCCCCUUUGCCUCUGAUGAAAUUAAAAGCUGAACUCAGAUCUGAGUUCUGAGGAGGUUCAUCUUAAAUAAAGUAAAAUUUGUGACUUCCAAAGUGGGAGCAGAAAUUUUAAACGUCAUCGGAUCUGAACUGUAACCUGUUGGUGCUCCCUUUACCUUCAGCUCCUUUCUGUCUUGCCACACUUAUUAAUUACUGCAGAUCCCACAUUUGCCUAUGAAGAGGCAGUUUUUUCCAGGCCGUGUUGUUACUCGUUACUUGAAUCACUUGCUCUUUAUCUCGUUUGAUUCUGCUGGGACGCCCAGGGAAUUUUCCAAGGCUGUGAGCACAGGAUUGUGAAGAAAUCGUUGUCUGGCAUUGAUGCUUCAGCUGAAGAUGCUUCUCUCUCGUGUCCCUUGCGAUUUGCCAAUAAACCAGCCAGACACCAUUGCUAGCAGCCUUACACUGCUGAAAAUUGUUUUUCAGGUGAGAUGGUAAAUUAUGGGCUCUUGCUUCCUGUAGACGUAGCUGUUUGAUAGAUCUACUUGUGGUGUCUGAUGUAGUCAAACGGAAGGUCCCCAGCGUUUUCCUUCCCAUAUUUUUAAAAAACAUAAACAGUUGUUUUGUGUCGCUCUUCCCAGAAGUGGCUGCAUUUCCUUGGAGUUUCUAUGUGCAGUAUAGGUGGAGGAAAAAAGACUGACACGGCAGGAAAUGCCUCUUGUUCCAAAGCCAAGAAGAAUAUGCAUGCCUUUGAUGUGCCAGGCAUUGUGCCACGCUCCAGUCUAGACAGCAGGAGGUACCGCAGUGUUUUAUGUACGUGCCUGUGUACUUCUGAGACUUGUGCUGCCGGUGGGACACAGGGCUGAAGGGAUGCUGAGGGGAACCGUUCCUUCGAUGGGUCUUCAGCCCUUGAAGGUUUGUCCUAUGGCACUGCCUUUGGCAUUACAGCCCCCUGCCCCCCCGGUUUUGCUUGUCUAGCAGUUGCUUUAGCAGCUUACUGUCUCUCUCCUGCUCCCUCCUGCUCCUUCCUCUAAUGUUUGUUGGCUUUGUCUUUAGGAUUCCUCUUAAUUGUAAGUUCUGAAGCAUGCUACUGAUUAACCGUCACCUACAAAUGCCAUUAAAAAACAAACAAACAGAAUUGUCCUUGAACUCUUUUCUGCCCUUUUUCUGCUCCAGUGGGACCGAAUACCCAAUUACAGAGAAAUACAGAAAAUUAAAGUGCGUCAGGAACGGCACGUCCUUUCUAGAAUCCUGUUUGACAGUCUGAUUAUCCUCGAGAAGAAAGGACCAUGCUGGUACAGUCCCAGAGGAGAAGAAUUAACAACCAUGGAAGCAAUGAAAGAAGAUUCACACUGAUGUGAAGAAGACAAAUGUGUGUGUAGUUCAAGUUCAUCUUGGCGGAGUCAUGCUGAAAAUGCCAAUCUGACAAUUUUAAUGCUGGCAGGAAAGGAAAAUGUACGAGGGGGCUGGGUAAGUAAUGGCUUGUCCCAGCUCAGCGUGAGCUCCGGCAGGGAGGCCGCACUCACUGACAUCCCCCCACGCUCGGGGUGGCUCUGCUGCAGCACACAUCAAGGUGACAAAGGACACCGACCGAGAGGUCAUCGCUCAUCUGGAGCCGUUGCUGCUCGUGGUGCGAGAGACGGGAGCUGAGAUGUUUUUGCCUUGGGCAACAAGGUGUAUCUGCAGGGAAGGCAAAGGAACCUGAAUUUGCUUUAACUCCCUAGCACGGGUACGACGGGAGGGUGGCUGCAGAGGCACAGAGCUCAGUGCACAC